CCACAGAAUAUUUUGCCAGUACUGCUGUGGAACAUCCAGGUGCUCUUGUGCAAACAGUAAACGUGCAGCAAUGUUUUGUUUGGACAGCAGUGGUAUCCUCCCAUGAAAUCCAUUCUUGUUUAGUGUUUUACGUAUUGUAGAUUCGCUAACAGGGAUGUUAGCAUUUGCCAGUGACUUUAAGUCUUUAGCUGACACUCUAGGAUUCUUCACCUCAUUGAGCAGUCUGCGCUGUGCUCUUGCAGUCAUCUUUACAGGACGGCCACUCCUAGGGAGAGUAGCAGCAGUGCUGAACUUUCUCCAUUUAUAGACA
Molecule: non-coding RNA, 310 nt
Organism: Pelobates cultripes (western spadefoot toad)
Lineage: Eukaryota; Metazoa; Chordata; Amphibia; Anura; Pelobatidae
Source: the annotation of a GenBank genome assembly